RNAcentral lists this ribosomal RNA (497 nucleotides) under uncultured bacterium. RNAcentral's name for it is "partial 16S ribosomal RNA". It matches the Rfam family "Bacterial small subunit ribosomal RNA", at positions 28 to 507 of the family's 1533-position model. The record is from RNAcentral.
GAUGAACGCUGGCGGCGUGCCUAAUACAUGCAAGUCGAGCGAACGGACGAGAAGCUUGCUUCUCUGAUGUUAGCGGCGGACGGGUGAGUAACACGUGGAUAACCUACCUAUAAGACUGGGAUAACUUCGGGAAACCGGAGCUAUUACCGGAUAAUAUUUUGAACUGCAUGGUUCAAAAGUGAAAGACGGUCUUGCUGUCACUUAUAGAUGGAUCCGCGCGGCAUUAGCUAGUUGGUAAGGUAACGGCUUACCAAGGCAACGAUGCAUAGCCGACCUGAGAGGGUGAUCGGCCACACUGGAACUGGGACACGGACCAGACGCCUACGGGAGGCAGCAGUAGGGAAUCUUCCGCAAUGGGCGAAAGCCUGACGGAGCAACGCCGCGUGAGUGAUGAAGGUCUUCGGAUCGUAAAACUCGCUUAUUAGGGAAGAACAUAUGUGUAAGUAACUGUGCACAUCUUGACGGUACCUAAACAGAAAGCCACGGCUAACUACGUG